AGCAGCCGCGGUAAUUCCAGCUCCAAUAGCGUAUAUUAAAGUUGUUGCAGUUAAAAAGCUCGUAGUUGAAUUUUGGAUUCUGCCAGUUGGUCCAUCUUUUGAUGAGUACUGAUUGUGUGGGGUCUAUCCGCCUGGUGAUACGUAAUGUACUUUAUUGUAUGUUGCGGGUAGUCAGGACCUUUUACCUUGAAAAAAUUAGAGUGUUUAAAGCAGGCUUAUGCCGGAAUACAUUAGCAUGGAAUAAUAGAAUAGGACGAUGUUGUUUAUUUUGUUGGUUUCUAGGGACAACCGUAAUGAUUAAUAGGGGAUAGUUGGGGGCAUUAGUAUUCAAUUGUCAGAGGUGAAAUUCUUGGAUUAUUGAAGACUACUACUGCGAAAGCAUUUGCCAGGAUGUUUCAUUAAUCAGAACGAAAGUUAGGGGAUCGAAGACGAUCAGAUACCGUCGUAGUCUUAACCAUAAACUAUGCCGACUAGGGAUCGGAUGAUG
This 487-nucleotide ribosomal RNA is filed under the name uncultured fungus. Its description in RNAcentral is "SSU rRNA". It matches the Rfam family "Eukaryotic small subunit ribosomal RNA", at positions 569 to 1062 of the family's 1831-position model. The record is from RNAcentral. Lineage: Eukaryota; Fungi.